UACGGAGGAUGCGAGCGUUAUCCGGAUUUAUUGGGUUUAAAGGGUGCGCAGGCGGUCUGUUAAGUCAGCGGUCAAAGCCCGGGGCUCAACCCCAUCCAGCCGUUGAAACUGGGGAUCUAGAGUGUGCGAGAGGUAUGCGGAAUGCGUGGUGUAGCGGUGAAAUGCAUAGAUAUCACGCAGAACCCCGAUUGCGAAGGCAGCAUACCGGCGCUCAACUGACGCUGAGGCACGAAAGCGUGGGGAUCAAACAGG
This 252-nucleotide ribosomal RNA is filed under the name uncultured Bacteroidales bacterium. RNAcentral describes it as "partial 16S ribosomal RNA". It matches the Rfam family "Bacterial small subunit ribosomal RNA", at positions 524 to 776 of the family's 1533-position model. The record is from RNAcentral. Lineage: Bacteria; Pseudomonadati; Bacteroidota; Bacteroidia; Bacteroidales.